Drosophila miranda is the source of this 1149-nucleotide long non-coding RNA. RefSeq lists it as uncharacterized. The transcript is spliced from 2 exons. Lineage: Eukaryota; Metazoa; Arthropoda; Insecta; Diptera; Drosophilidae. The record is from RefSeq and is a predicted model, not a curated record.
CGACAAUCGAUGACCAUCGACUGGCAUGGCUGCGAUAUCUGUGGCAUAGACAGGGCCGUUGAAAUUUGGAAUAAACUGUAAAGCACAGCUGAUUACAUACAUUAGUUAUGAACUCCUCCCAGUUGGUCCGAUCCUCGCUGACCCGCUGAAAAUCCACCUUGCGCCGGCACAACACCUGCAGCAUCGCAUAAGCGGCCGUGUCAUUGGCCAGGAUCGCGACUCUGCUGGACAAGGCCUGGUUUAGAUUGCAAAUGGUGACGGCGGGAAAUGGCUCAUUUGUUAUGUACGUGAGCUCCGGAUCAAUACCCACUAUCACCGGGGUGGUGUUCCACUUGUCGAAGGCGUCAUGUAUGAGGUAGGCGGCCAUUGAGACAACCGCCAGCAUUGCGACUCCAAAAAACACUCUGCCAGCACAGGAGUAAGCUUAAUCCUCUGUAGCCAUGUGCAAAUGUGUAUGUUAUGUGGUUAUUACCUGUCGCUGGUGCGCAAUUUCCUAUUAUUGAUGUACUUCAGGCCAUGUAUGGUCGUAUUGCGACAGAACUCAUCUGUGUUCCUGGCUAGUAUGCGGCGCCACGUGGCCAUCGAUAUGUGGGUCCUCGCCUGCGGCUUGCCGCAUAACUUUGGGUAUGGCUGGCGGCUCCAGAAGAGACCCAAUUGCCGGCGACUUCGGUGUUGGCGCAUCUUCAGCCACUCUCUGAAUGAACACAUGGAACUGGCCCUGGGACACACUCUAAAGCAUGGGAAUUGUUCAACGUACAGUCUGGUGUGGCACUGAAGUUGGCAGUAAGGUGGUUUUAUUCGAAUUAUGUCAGGAUUUACGACGAGUAUUUUGUAGAAAUUAUCAUGGCUAUGCCAUGUACAUACAUAGCCCUUGGUUGGUUAUAGAUGGAAUUCGGAGCCCGAAGUCUAACAAUUGCUGAACUGUGUCGUAUGCCCUUAGUCUUUGAAAUUAAACGACUUAUUGGAAUUGUGUAAUCUUUGAGGGGCAUUUGAAUGUUCUGCUAGCCAUCCUUCCUUGUUUGAUUCUUAAUUAUGUCAGUCUCUGAGCUUUUGCUGGUGGUGGUGUUUAUUUGUAAUAGGUGAAUUGAAAUCAAUAAAUUCAAUUACAAUCAGUCCUUAGGGAGUGCAGUCUUUCAAAGAGAAGAAUAA